RNAcentral lists this ribosomal RNA (274 nucleotides) under uncultured bacterium. RNAcentral's name for it is "partial 16S ribosomal RNA". It matches the Rfam family "Bacterial small subunit ribosomal RNA", at positions 523 to 796 of the family's 1533-position model. The record is from RNAcentral.
AUACGGAGGGUGCAAACGUUGUUCGGAAUUACUGGGCGUAAAGCGCGCGUAGGUGGUCUGUUAUGUCAGAUGAGAAAGUCCACGGCUCAACCGUGGAAGUGCAUUUGAAACUGGCAGACUUGAGUACUGGAGGGGGUAGUGGAAUUCCCGGUGUAGAGGUGAAAUUCGUAGAUAUCGGGAGGAAUACCGGUGGCGAAGGCGACUACCUGGCCAGAUACUGACACUGAGGUGCGAAAGCGUGGGGAGCGAACAGGAUUAGAAACCCCAGUAGUCC